Molecule: ribosomal RNA, 481 nt
Filed under: Schaalia turicensis
Lineage: Bacteria; Bacillati; Actinomycetota; Actinomycetes; Actinomycetales; Actinomycetaceae
Description: bacterial SSU rRNA
Rfam family: Bacterial small subunit ribosomal RNA
Source: RNAcentral
AACACAUGCAAGUCGAACGAUGAUGCUCCAGCUUUGUUGGGGUGGAUUAGUGGCGAACGGGUGAGUAACACGUGAGUAACCUGCCCUCUUCUUUGGGAUAACGGUCGGAAACGGCUGCUAAUACUGGAUAUUCACUCAUUGGCGCAUGUUGGUGGGUGGAAAGGUUUUUUCUGGUGGGGGAUGGGCUCGCGGCCUAUCAGCUUGUUGGUGGGGUGAUGGCCUACCAAGGCUUUGACGGGUAACCGGCCUGAGAGGGUGACCGGUCACAUUGGGACUGAGAUACGGCCCAGACUCCUACGGGAGGCAGCAGUGGGGAAUUUUGCACAAUGGGCGCAAGCCUGAUGCAGCGACGCCGCGUGAGGGAUGAAGGCCUUCGGGUUGUAAACCUUUUUCGCUCAUGGUCAAGCCGCAGCUUUGGGUUGUGGUGAGGGUAGUGGGUAAAGAAGCGCCGGCUAACUACGUGCCAGCAGCCGCGGUAAUA